RNAcentral lists this ribosomal RNA (489 nucleotides) under uncultured bacterium. Its description in RNAcentral is "partial 16S ribosomal RNA". It matches the Rfam family "Bacterial small subunit ribosomal RNA", at positions 30 to 506 of the family's 1533-position model. The record is from RNAcentral.
AUUGAACGCUGGCGGCAGGCCUAACACAUGCAAGUCGAACGGUAACAGGAAGCAGCUUGCUGCUUUGCUGACGAGUGGCGGACGGGUGAGUAAUGUCUGGGAAACUGCCUGAUGGAGGGGGAUAACUACUGGAAACGGUAGCUAAUACCGCAUAACGUCGCAAGACCAAAGAGGGGGACCUUAGGGCCUCUUGCCAUCGGAUGCGCCCAGAUGGGAUUAGCUAGUAGGUGGGGUAACGGCUCACCUAGGCGACGAUCCCUAGCUGGUCUGAGAGGAUGACCAGCCACACUGGAACUGAGGCACGGUCCAGACUCCUACGGGAGGCAGCAGUGGGGAAUAUUGCACAAUGGGCGCAAGCCUGAUGCAGCCAUGCCGCGUGUAUGAAGAAGGCCUUCGGGUUGUAAAGUACUUUCAGCGGGGAGGAAGGGAGUAAAGUUAAUACCUUUGCUCAUUGACGUUACCCGCAGAAGAAGCACCGGCUAACUCCGU